GUUCUCUCUCCCUGAAAUUCUAAUUGUACAGACAGUGGUCAAUGACAGCCUGGGGUUGUUUGGACUAUUUCAGAGAAGUCUAUUUCAGACACUCAUGAAUAGAUUUAGAAGCAAUUUGUGACAAUUUUAGUUGUUUUAUGUCCCACAUUUUGUUUUUACAUUGAUUACUUACUAGAAAUUGUGAAGUUCUGGGCUAAAGAUGUAUGACAAACAGGAUGAAAAUCACUUAAGACUGCAGGUCUGGGACACAGACAAACACAAUUAUCUAAAAGACCUAAAUCUUGAUUUUUAAAGAGACAGAUGACUGGACCUUCAUUUACCAUCAUUUUUCUUUCUCUCCACCAUUUCCAGUUAAAACAUUUAACUUUUUUACAUUGUGGUUUGUCUGCUCCCCUUCCAUCCCUAAUGUGUUCUGCUGCUUGGUGAAGAAUGAAAGCACGGUUUAGUGGCUUCUCUGUUUGAGGUUUCAAACGUUCGGUUGAGUAGUCACCUCACCUCCAUCAGCGGACCCUAUUAGUUCACACACACACACACACACACACACACACACACACACACACACACACACACACACACACACACACACACACACACACACACACACACACACACACACACACACUUUAUUGGUUCAAAGUAGCUCAUUUGAGGAACAUUUGAGACCCAGGAACCAGACAUGACGGUGGCCUGACCUGGUUGUCUUCAGCAGUCAGACACUGGGACCUCACCAUCUCCCCCUAUAGAAAUAAAUAGUCGGCCAUAUUGACUGACCCCAUGAGUUAAAUUCCAGUCAAAUUGCUAUGGUCAGAGGGGCUUUCCCCGUUCUAGUAAAUCCAUUUCUAUGUCACCUUUACCCUGGUUAUAGUAUGUUGGACAUAAACACAACCCACCACACUAACUUUACCCCGGUGUGGCACCUCAACUGUAGAGGAGCCUUGUGAAGAAGAACAGACAUGAAUCACGCUAGCUAGCCUGUUGCUGACAUAUUGCAUGGUGAAGGUUAGGGUGUUCGAUGGAGAGAAAUGUUUAAGGGGGGUCACCUCGUUACGAGUGUAGAAAGACUUGACUACUUGUUGACAAAUUGGGACGGCAGGGUAGCCUAGUGGUUAGAGCGUUGGACUAGUAAUCGAAAGGUUGCAAGUUCAAAUCAGCUAACAAGGUAAAAAUCUGUCGUUCUGCUCCUAAACAAGGCAGUUAACCCACUGUUCCUAGGCUGUCAUUUAAAAUAAGAAUUUGUUCUUAACUGACCUGCCUAGUUAAAUAAAGGUAAAAUGUAAUAAAUAAAAAUCAUGUUUAACAGUAUAUCCGUUGACUAAUCAUGUUUUACAGUAUAUCUGUUGACAGGAGGCAUGGGGAGGUUUGGGGGAAGAGAGAUAAGAGGUGACUCCUUGUUGAUUUAUAUCUCUGAUAUAUAUAUAUAUAUAUAUAUAUAUUGAUAUAUAUCCUUGUUGUGUGUGCAUAAACGUUUACUACUUGUUGUUGACUAAAAUGAUUCACAUAACUGUCAGUUGAAAUCAUAAAAUUCUCUGUUAACACAAGAACCACUGUGUGCAGUAUUAGAUAAGAGGACAAUGACAGUAUGAAGGUAGAACCACUGUGUGCAGUAUUAGAUAAGAGGACAAUGACAGUAUGAAGGUAGAACCACUGUGUGCAGUAUUAGAU
This 1662-nucleotide long non-coding RNA is filed under the name Salmo salar (Atlantic salmon). RNAcentral's name for it is "lncRNA (ENSSSAG00000088666.1)". Lineage: Eukaryota; Metazoa; Chordata; Actinopteri; Salmoniformes; Salmonidae. The record is from RNAcentral.